CAGAUUUACAAAAUAUAAUUAUAUUCCAAGUUAUACAUACAGGAUACAACAGCAAUGCAUUGUGAAUUUAGAAUGAACUAGUCAUGGUGGUAAGAUCGCUGACAAGUCUUUUAAAACCAGAAAUCAAGACACAUUGACCCAAUGGGCCCAAUCCUAAACGCCCCCUAGACCCUAUGCCAUAUGCACUUGUGGAGAUCGGAGAGGUUUUGUCAGGUGUAAGCAAUAUGGUAAUAGCUCUACCACUCAAUGAUAGGCUAGGUGGAAGUAAACCCAUAUUGCUUACAACCAAUUAGAUGAUCUUACAUCAUUACAUUACAUUAAGGUCUAGAUGUCAAUUUGGGAUUGGGCCCUUCUCCAAUGGUCCAAUGAUAGGAAGUCAGCUGUAUAUAGUUCUACAUUCAGCCGUUUUGUCUUUGGUAACCUCAGUCAUCUUGUCCCUAGAUCUGCCAACAUGGAGGGGUUGUCAAGGUGACGGUAUUACCACCAGACCAGAGGUCACUAGUCACGAAGACAGUCAAAUUCCACGUGACAGUUUAGACACGGUAAUUAGGCUUCUCUGAUGCUACUGAUGGUCAUUAGUAGCCUACCAAAUUAACUGCCUGGUACUCAGCACUGUAUCGUCCCUUUAAAUCACUCUGACAUCAAUGUAUUAAAACAUCUCAUCAAAACACUUCAUGAGAGCCCAUGAGCUCAUGUUGCUCAACAUUUCUAUAGGCUAUGUAACUGCGUGAGAAAACAGAGUGAUGGCUUCUAUUAAAAAGAGGAGUAACUGCGUGAGAAAACAGAGUGAUGGCCUCUAUUAAAAAGAGGAGGAUCUCAUCAGCUUUCUAUAGGCUAGGCCUAUUAUAUUUAUAAACUUUCCUAAUAUUAAGCACAUUGCUUCUCUUUACAACAGGAGUAUAGCCUACCUGGCUGGCAUGAAAAUGAACCACGGGGAAAAGCAUCCUCCAUUUUGCUAUUUAAGUGCAUAGUUGACAUUCUUUCCCCCCCAUACCCCCAUUUCGAUACAGGUGCAUGAUAAUGGUCCAUUCUAAAUCAAAACUAAUUUGACACACAUAUAAUUUAGUAUAUGUAAAGACAAGAUUAAAUUAAGAAUAGUGUGAUGGGUGACAAUAUUAGCCUAUCACUUGUGGAUUAUGUAUUAUCACAUGCGAAUGACGCCCAGCUUGUGCAGUAAGGCGAGGAAUAACUCAUGCGUUUUUUUGCGACUUCUUCAAAUCGUAGGUCGCACACCGUAUGUAGCCCAGCCCAUAGGCCUAUAUGUUUUGAUAAGGUUUUUUAUCACAACUAAAGUGGCCAAAUAACUCCUUAAAACGAAGCACAGGGAGCGCAGGUAGUCUAGUGGUUAGAGUGUAGGGGCGGCAGGUAGCCUAGUGGUUAGAGCGUAGGGGCGGCAGGUAGCCUAGUGGUUAGAGCGUCGGGGGGGCAGGUAGCCUAGUGGUUAGAGCGUAGGGGCAGCAGGUAGCCUAGUGGUUAAAGUGUAGGGGGCGGCAGGUAGCCUGGUGGUUAGAGUGUAGGGGCGGCAGGUAGCCUAGUGGUUAGAGCGUAGGGGCGGCAGGUAGUCUGGUGGUUAGAGCGUAGGGGCGGCAGGUAGCCUGGUGGUUAGAGCGUAGGGGCGGCAGGUAGCCUAGUGGUUAGAGUGUAGGGGCGGCAGGUAGCCUAGUGGUUAAAGUGUAGGGGCGGCAGGUAGCCUAGUGGUUAGAGCGUAGGGGCGGCAGGUAGCCUGGUGGUUAGAGCGUAGGGGCGGCAGGUAGCCUAGUGGUUAGAGUGUAGGGGCGGCAGGUAGCCUAGUGGUUAAAGCGUUGGGCCAGUAACCCGAAAGGUUGCAAAAUCAAAUCCCCUGAGCUGACAAGGUAAAAAUCUAUCAUUCUGUCCCUGAACAGGGCAGUUAACCCACUGUUCCAAGGUCGUCGUUCAAAAUAAGAAUUUGUUCUUAACUGACUUGCCUAGUUAAAUAAAGGAUAAUGAUAAUAAAUAUUAAACCGCUUUAUAACCGGUGCCUAACUGGCAGACAUAAGCUGUGUGAGUUUCACGUUUGGGGAAGAUCAUUUUCACCAUAAAUAUGCACUUUUUAUAAUAAACUAUUAAAUGCACCUUUUAAAAUAAACUAUUAAAUGCACCUUUUAAAAUAAACUAUUAAAUGCACCUUUUAAAAUAAACUAUUAAAUGCACCUUUUUAAAAUAAACUAUUAAAUGUGUGCGCAUUGAUACGCUUCUAAUGUGAAGAAAAAGACCAAUAGAAAAAGCCUUAAUAGUUUAUCAACAUUUUAAGCUAAACGUUCUGAUCUGUUGCAUCAGCCUCACUGCUUUAAAAAAAAUAAAGAAAUUGGAUGCGAGUUGCUGUAUUCAAUUGGGAUCUAUCGCAUCCCACAACUGUCCUACAGUAUAUUUAUUUAUUUAUUGCACUGAAGAACAGUUGACCAAUAGCAUAGGUCAACUUUUGCACUAUGGGGGGAUAGUACAUUGGGCAUAAGCUAG
Oncorhynchus tshawytscha (Chinook salmon) is the source of this 2478-nucleotide long non-coding RNA. The record is from Ensembl. Lineage: Eukaryota; Metazoa; Chordata; Actinopteri; Salmoniformes; Salmonidae.